Molecule: non-coding RNA, 29 nt
Filed under: Rattus norvegicus (Norway rat)
Lineage: Eukaryota; Metazoa; Chordata; Mammalia; Rodentia; Muridae
Source: RNAcentral
UCUGAUUAGUAGUGUCUGAACCUCUUCCC